AGCAGCCGCGGUAAUUCCAGCUCCAAUAGCGUAUAUUAAAGUUGUUGCAGUUAAAAAGCUCGUAGUUGAAUUUCGGGGUUAGUAGGUUGGUCAUGCCUCUGGUAUGUACUGGUCUCACUGAUUCCUCCUUCCUGAUGAACCGUAAUGCCAUUAAUUUGGUGUUGCGGGGAAUUUGGACUGUUACUUUGAAAAAAUUAGAGUGUUUAAAGCAAGCUAACGCUUGAAUACAUUAGCAUGGAAUAAUGAAAUAGGACGUUCGAUCCUAUUUUGUUGGUUUCUAGGAUUGACGUAAUGAUUAAUAGGGAUAGUUGGGGGCAUUAGUAUUCAAUUGUCAGAGGUGAAAUUCUUGGAUUUAUUGAAGACUAACUACUGCGAAAGCAUUUGCCAAGGAUGUUUUCAUUAAUCAAGAACGAAAGUUAGGGGAUCGAAGACGAUCAGAUACCGUCGUAGUCUUAACCAUAAACUAUGCCGACUAGGGAUCGGAUGAUGUAU
Molecule: ribosomal RNA, 492 nt
Filed under: uncultured Glomus
Lineage: Eukaryota; Fungi; Glomeromycota; Glomeromycetes; Glomerales; Glomeraceae
Description: SSU rRNA
Rfam family: Eukaryotic small subunit ribosomal RNA
Source: RNAcentral